CUAAUGCAGGUUCUCCCGAGUCCCCUCAAUAUGGCAGGGAGUUCUAGUAGCUCAACUGCUAGUUCAGGCCAUUUGUUGCCUUCAAUGCCAAUGUAAAAUCUGGGACCUUUUUGCUACUCAUCCUAUCUACUCCCUGAUAAGAGGUCCUUCAUUUGAGUGUUUACACACAAGAGUGCAACAUCUGAAAAAAGAAAGCAAGUCAUCAAAGAAGUCUGGACCUGAAUCAGAAGUACUUCAAUUGCAGCAGGAGCUUCAAAAAAGCCUCCAGACCAACUUGAGUUACGAGCUGAAGAAAAUGCACGACAGCUACAGAAAGCUGUUGGAAGAGCAGAAGAAAGUGGGAGAAUUAUUGCUUGCCAGCAAGUCAUUAUCUACACAAAUCUGGAAGUCACUACAUUUGGCUCAGGAAUCAGGAUCAGUUGAGUGAUAGAAUAAAUGACUUGUACUGGUGUGAAUUUGAGUUUUGCUUAAGAGUUUUUUGGGAUUUUGAACCGAAGUUGAGUAUGCACAUGGCUGAAAUUACAGAUGUGUGAAGUACAAAUUACAGGAGCGCAGUCAGGGUUCUUUACUCGGGUUGGUUUCUCCUUUAUAAAGUUAUUAAACAGAAAGCCUGGUCACUCUUUACUUCCCGAUUUCAGUCAUGACCAGUUCACGCCCUAAUUCUUUGCCGCUGCACCAAGUCCUCACGCCAGCUAGCUAUGGUUAUGCUAGGUGUUUUCAAAAGGUUAAGACAAGUUUGAGAAACUAAUAACAAUAUGGAGCUGGGGAAUACACGAAGUUUGUGGUUCAAGUUAAUUUGGAGAAAAAUCAUCCAAGAUUGAGGUGCUGCUGUUGAAAUUGAUUGAUGAACGGAGAAAUUAAGAGUAUUAGAAUUUGUAUAGGAUUAGGAUAAGCGGGUUUUCUCCAAUUCGAAUGGAAAAAUUGAGCAAUAAAAGGCCUCACCUGUUCGGACAUUCAUAACCAGUCCAUACAACUCCUACCUGCACCUCACGAACAGCAUCAGUUCUUCUUUGGCGUACGGUACCAGCAGGUGUCACUGCAACUUGGCGAAUUCCUGAAUUGCUUAGGCUUUCUCUUUACUGCAAAGCAAAGUUUCCAUGGUGACCGCACACACUUUAUAGCAAGUCUUAUGGUGGAAGAGUUCCAUCUUCC
Molecule: long non-coding RNA, 1152 nt
Organism: Papaver somniferum (opium poppy)
Lineage: Eukaryota; Viridiplantae; Streptophyta; Magnoliopsida; Ranunculales; Papaveraceae
Exons: 5
Source: RefSeq, a predicted model, not a curated record